UGGAGAAUGGGAGCACGUCAGCAAAUGGAAGGGAUCCCUGUAUCAGUGUGCACACAAGGCUUUUGUCCCCUCUCCCUGGAUGGAUGUCUCUGCGUUCCUUAAAGAAGCGACUAAAUGGCACUGGAGUUCCGUAUCAAGAUCUUCCUAACUGAUAGCACAGUACUCCAACGAGUGAGCUUUAAUUAUUUUCCCCGCAUAAGGAACAGAGUGGCGUUUAGAAUAAUCCUGAAAAUCAACAGAAUUCAAUUCCCUGUCCACUACAAGAGAAAAGAAAUCAGAAAAAGCCGACGGGCUGGACAGCAGUAGAUGACCUUGAGGGUUUAGCACACGCUUCAAAGCUUGGUGCUGAGCACCUUGUUGUCACGUACAGAACAAAGAUUUCCAGGGAACAACAGCAGGGCCUGUUACUUCAGCCACCCCUUGUUUUCUCUGUGACCGAGACGGAGGUGAAGAAACACGGACUGAUAUUUGCUGUAGCAGCACAGCCCUCAAGGACAAGAUGUUUUCCCCGCUUGGUUCCUUUCAAUGUAAACUGAAGUGCUGCUGUCCCAGAUCCAUCCACACGCAGUGCUACCACGCUUCGCCUUCUCCUGCAGCUAAAAACAACGCCGCUCCCCGUGCCUCCUCUGCCUUCAGCUCUCAAGGUCAGCUCUGCAGAAGGGAAAAACAGCUCGGCAGCAAGCGAAAAAGCUGGGAUUUUGGUUUGUUGGUUUUUUUUUUUUUUUUUUGGUCAUUUUCCUUUCUUUUCCUCUUUGCGAAGCGCUGAGAAAAGAAAGACGUGCGUUUUGACAUUUGCUGUUUCAUGCUUCCAGCCCUACACGCUGUAUUCACAGUGCGCUGAAAGGAGAAGAGAAGGAGAAAACAAAGCCUUUGGUAUAAAGGAUUAGCACUUCAGCUGAGUGUCUUCCUAAGGAAGACAUCAAGCACAGCUGCUCACGCAUCCCCCAUGGCCCAGGGGGGAGCAAGGCAAAGCCAGCCCUCGGGACAUGCUGUUUUAGGAGGGAUGGAACUGCUUCAGGUGGUUCAACAGCAGGAGAAACAGAAAAGGUUCCCUGGCAGAAGGUUUUCAGAUCCCCCCCUGACGCUAGGAGAACGUUCAGUGGGAGCUUCUCAGAGUGCUCUGCUCCCAUUUCCCCACUCCUAGCAAAGAAGGGAGCAAAGAAGUAGGGAAAAAAAAAAUCAUGGGAAGUUUGUAGCUAGGCUCAGGUAAUGAGCAGGAUCAGAGCUUUUCUAUGGGCUCUUAAAGAGAAAAAAAAAAAAACACAUAAAAAGCGAUGCAGGUCUGACACAGGAGUUGCUAUGCCAGAGCCAAGGCAGCUCAGUUCAUUUUAAAACCCAGCAGGGAAAUGCCUUUGGAGAAUUCAGUUCCCAGUAGGAAAUGGCAUCCAUCAGACCCUUUGCAUUGCUCCCGACCUCUUGAUUUCUAUCAGACUGCUUUGCAAACAGAAUUCUCACAGGUCCUAGCUCAGCCUGAUCCACCACACCAUACCUGGGGUGUGGAGAAGGCUUAGGAAGAAUGAAGGUAAUGAAAGGCAACAACUUCUCACCAUAAUCAAGAACAAAACUCAUUUUUGGGAAUUAUGAAGAGCCUCCACCAAAUCCCUGGCACAUCUGAGAUGGUGACCAAAUUAUGGACCACCUCUGAAACCAAGACAACUCUGCAGUAGGGCAGAACAGGAACCAUGGCAUUCCUCUUUGUUCCCCAUUCAGAGGAAGAAUAUCCCAUUUAGCUACACAAGACGCAUGACAUCCUAUUAAGAUGACUUUCUAAAAUGGAAAGGAAAUUACUAGGAACCAGGAGGUAUUUUGAGUUCAGUUUCUUCUGUACAGCAAUAACUGUUCCCCUAUGUUCAGCAUCACUGGUGAUUUUCAGCUUAUUGAUGAAAACCCAGAGGUGGACAACAGAUGGAGUAAAAGAAUGUUCUACAUGCUGGUGACUCCCCAGCACUCACCUGUCCUGCGCCUCAGCAGUGAGGUGCAAAGUGGUUAUCUCCAGCAUUAUAACUGCAGAAUGACCUGAAGUUUCCAAACCCUGAGGCCAAGUCCUGAGCUACUGUGCCCAGCUCUGCUACAACCACUGAAGUCAAGAUCAUUCUUAUUUCAAAUAUUCAUGACACGGCAACCUGGCAACUGUUGUAGCGUCUAAAAAUCAUUACAGAUUGUUCACAUUCUGAAUUUUGGCCAGAUUUCUUCGAUACAGAACACUGCAAGCCAUGUGAGAAGGCUGCUGAGGUUACCAUGCUGUCUGGAACAUUAGGGGUUGAUAUUUAACAUAAUGAUCUAAAAGCAAGUCCAGAAUAGGGAGACUGUUCCAUGAAUACAACCUCCGAGCUUCCUGCAGCAUCCUGGUUAGGAAUCUUCUGAGACAUAUCUGGUGUCUAAUCAAAGUUCCUUUUCAGACAAUGUCACCAUUCCUGUGUGGACAUGACAAUGGAGCUCCCACCUCCAUCAGGGCCUGAGCAAGCUUUGGGAGCCAGAACCUCAUCUGGGUUCUCAGGUUCUGCCCACAUGGUCACAGCCAAGCUGCCCGCAUGCUAACAUCAUUUGCCAGGCUUUCAAGUGGUAGAAAGAACAGUUACAAAUUUUUGGCUGUAGCACACAACCACAGAAUCACAGAAUCGUUAAGGUUGGAAAAGACCUCUAAAAUCAUCAAGUGCAACCGUCAACCCACAAGACAAAGACUUCUUCUGUAUGGGAUGGUAGUGCUGUUGAUAGCAGGUAUGAACCGGAGGACAUGGCAGGAUGGAAGAGGAGUCAGCUGGAUGCCAUCUCUUAUUCAGACCUGCAAGCCUGAGAGCUCUCAACACUUGCCAGCUGGUGACAGGUAUAUUUUUAAGAAAAUCUUUUUUUUUUUUGACAUCCUCACUUCUGUAACAAAGGAGCUAUUUAAAAAUGCAGUGCGCUCCCUUGGAAAGCUUUAAAUAGUUCUAGAAUAUAACUGGCAUUAUGCUAUAACCCAGUAUUAAAUACUUUUGGGGAGGAACUGUUUAAAUUGCCAAGGAAAACCUACAUUUAACUGUAGCAAAGGAAAGGACAUGCUGCUUUCUGCGGGAGGCACGAAGCUGUUAGGCGGAAGGACCUGGCCACCAUGGUUUGCCUGGUUCUGGACAAGCAGAAAAGGUCCCUAUCCGUCAUAGAAUCACAGAAUGGUUGGGUUGGAAGGGAUCCUAACAUCCACCCAGACCCACCC
Long non-coding RNA from Numida meleagris (helmeted guineafowl), 3190 nucleotides. RefSeq lists it as uncharacterized. The transcript has 3 exons. The record is from RefSeq and is a predicted model, not a curated record. Lineage: Eukaryota; Metazoa; Chordata; Aves; Galliformes; Numididae.